This 459-nucleotide ribosomal RNA is filed under the name uncultured bacterium. RNAcentral describes it as "partial 16S ribosomal RNA". It matches the Rfam family "Bacterial small subunit ribosomal RNA", at positions 339 to 795 of the family's 1533-position model. The record is from RNAcentral.
CUACGGGUUGCUGCAGUAAGGAAUAUUGGUCAAUGGACGAAAGUCUGAACCAGCCAUGCCGUGUGAAGGAUUAAGGUCCUCUGGAUUGUAAACUUCUUUUAUAUGGGACGAAAAAAGGUCUUUCUAGAUCACUUGACGGUACCAUAUGAAUAAGCACCGGCUAACUCCGGGCCAGCAGCCGCGGUAAUACGGAGGGUGCAAGCGUUAUCCGGAUUCACUGGGUUUAAAGGGUGCGUAGGCGGGCAGGUAAGUCAGUGGUGAAAUCCUGGAGCUCAACUCCAGAACUGCCAUUGAUACUAUCUGUCUUGAAUAUUGUGGAGGUAAGCGGAAUAUGUCAUGUAGCGGUGAAAUGCUUAGAUAUGACAUAGAACACCCAUUGCGAAGGCAGCUUACUACGCAUAUAUUGACGCUGAGGCACGAAAGCGUGGGGAUCAAACAGGAUUAGAUACCCUUGUAGUC